This 69-nucleotide transfer RNA is filed under the name Phocaeicola coprocola. It matches the Rfam family "tRNA". Rfam says of the family: Transfer RNA (tRNA) molecules are approximately 80 nucleotides in length. Their secondary structure includes four short double-helical elements and three loops (D, anti-codon, and T loops). Lineage: Bacteria; Pseudomonadati; Bacteroidota; Bacteroidia; Bacteroidales; Bacteroidaceae. The record is from RNAcentral.
GGUAGUAGCUCAGUUGGUAGAGCAUUAGCCUUCCAAGCUGAGGGUCGCGGGUUUGAGCCCCGUCUUCCG